GAUGAACGCUGGCGGCGUGCCUAAUACAUGCGAGUCGAGCGAACAGAUGAGGAGCUUGCUCCUCUGACGUUAGCGGCGGACGGGUGAGUAACACGUGGAUAACCUACCUAUAAGACUGGGAUAACUUCGGGAAACCGGAGCUAAUACCGGAUAAUAUAUUGAACCGCAUGGUUCAAUAGUGAAAGACGGUUUUGCUGUCACUUAUAGAUGGAUCCGCGCCGCAUUAGCUAGUUGGUAAGGUAACGGCUUACCAAGGCAACGAUGCGUAGCCGACCUGAGAGGGUGAUCGGCCUCACUGGAACUGAGACACGGUCCAGACUCCUACGGGAGGCAGCAGUAGGGAAUCUUCCGCAAUGGGCGAAAGCCUGACGGAGCAACGCCGCGUGAGUGAUGAAGGUCUUCGGAUCGUAAAACUCUGUUAUUAGGGAAGAACAAAUGUGUAAGUAACUAUGCACGUCUUGACGGUACCUAAUCAGAAAGCCACGGCUAACUACGUG
RNAcentral lists this ribosomal RNA (497 nucleotides) under uncultured bacterium. Its description in RNAcentral is "partial 16S ribosomal RNA". It matches the Rfam family "Bacterial small subunit ribosomal RNA", at positions 28 to 507 of the family's 1533-position model. The record is from RNAcentral.